UACGGAGGGUGCGAGCGUUGCUCGGAAUUACUGGGCGUAAAGCGUGCGCAGGCGGCAUGUCAAGUCAGACGUGAAAGACCGGGGCUCAACCUCGGGAGGUCGUUUGAAACUGGCAAGCUCGAGUACGGGAGAGGGGUGUGGAAUUCCCAGUGUAGGAGUGAAAUCCGUAGAUAUUGGGAGGAACACCAGUGGCGAAGGCGACACCCUGGCCCGAGACUGACGCUCAGGCACGAAAGCGUGGGGAGCAAACAGGAUUAGAUACCCUCGUAGUCC
This 273-nucleotide ribosomal RNA is filed under the name uncultured bacterium. RNAcentral's name for it is "partial 16S ribosomal RNA". It matches the Rfam family "Bacterial small subunit ribosomal RNA", at positions 524 to 796 of the family's 1533-position model. The record is from RNAcentral.